RNAcentral lists this long non-coding RNA (1144 nucleotides) under Callithrix jacchus (white-tufted-ear marmoset). RNAcentral describes it as "lncRNA (ENSCJAG00000084777.1)". The record is from RNAcentral. Lineage: Eukaryota; Metazoa; Chordata; Mammalia; Primates; Cebidae.
GUGGGCCACCUCUCCUCUCUGCCUCCAGCCCUACCUUGAAAGCCCCGCUCAUCUCCUCUCCCUGCACUCCCUCCAGGGACUCUUCUCAGCCCCAGAUCUCCACUAGUUCCUUUCUCUCAUCGUGUUCAUGCCUGUCUUGUGCCAGGCCUUGUGUACAAGCUGAGACCCACCAUGAGCUGUUCAGACGUGGCUGGCGCCUAGGCAGGCUCCCAGUGCAGAGGGGAGCAGGUGAGUAACCAGGUGUCACUGCUCCUGAGGUCUGCUACUCACCUCACAGCCCGUGGGUACCUUGCAAAAUUAGGACAAGCCGUUCCUUUCUCCAAACACAUAGCAAGUCCCAUCACAAUGUGCACCUGUGACAACCCUGAAUGUGAGCUGCAUUCUGUGUACAGCCUCCACAGCUGCAGUGGAGACCUAAGGAAGGGACAUAUAGGUCAGGGGUCCAUCCAAGCCUGGGGGAGGGUCAGCUAGGCUUCCCACUGGAGGACACCUCUGCAAAGGGCCGCCUUAGCCAUUCCUUUGUGAUAAUGAUAGCAGAGGGUUCUGUGCCCUUGUCCACAUGUGGGUGUUUACAGAGGAAAGUCAGUAAGGAGCAUCUGUGAUGGUUGCUCCUUAUAUAAAGGAGCAUCCUCAGUUCUUGGGCCACUGUCAGGAGCAUACUCUAGAGCUGGAUUUGAACUUGGAGACCAGAAUUCUAUCUGCUCCAAAACUAUCAAGUUAUUCUGCCGCCCAGUUCUCCAGGAUGGGCUGGCAAGUGGUUUCAAAAGUAAACACAGCAGAGUCUUUUAUUUUUUUUAAGCAAUGUUAGAUGUUUCCUGUUCCAAAGUGUGCACCACAGCCCCUGGGCUCCGUGCCUGACUUUCUCCAGGGCAGACAUCUGGAGGAUGACUCAGGGACCCACACAAAGAGCUGUCUGCAGCCUGGACCCUACAACCCUGGGCACCCCAGUGGGACACCCCAAAAGAGCAGAAUGGCACGAGGAUGGAAAGGCCCCAACUGUGGGUUCUCCUUGCCUGGCUCUUCAUCCAAAAAAUUGAAAGCAGCAAAGGACCCACAAGAUUACUGUCAUGAGCCCCCAACCCUCCUGUUACAGAGGGAGAGAGCAACUGAAGCCAGAGUGGAGAAAGGAUCCUGUGUGGGCUGA